Panicum virgatum (switchgrass) is the source of this 106-nucleotide small nucleolar RNA. Lineage: Eukaryota; Viridiplantae; Streptophyta; Magnoliopsida; Poales; Poaceae. The record is from RefSeq and is a predicted model, not a curated record.
AUCCCAUGAUGAGGAUAGGAGAGUAUGUAUUCUUGAAGUCUCUCCCAAGCUUCUAGGAUGGAUUCCAUCCCCGUCUGUUGGAAACUUGAUAUCUUCCACGCAGGGC